This 253-nucleotide ribosomal RNA is filed under the name uncultured bacterium. Its description in RNAcentral is "partial 16S ribosomal RNA". It matches the Rfam family "Bacterial small subunit ribosomal RNA", at positions 524 to 776 of the family's 1533-position model. The record is from RNAcentral.
UACGUAGGGGGCAAGCGUUGUCCGGAAUCAUUGGGCGUAAAGAGCGUGUAGGCGGCCCGAUAAGUCCGCUGUGAAAGUCCAGGGCUCAACCCUGGGAUGCCGGUGGAUACUGUAGGGCUCGAGUCCGGAAGAGGAGUGUGGAAUUCCUGGUGGAGCGGUGAAAUGCGCAGAUAUCAGGAGGAACACCCGUAGCGAAGGCGGCACUCUGGGCCGAUACUGACACUGAGGAGCGAAAGCGUGGGGAGCGAACAGG